RNAcentral lists this ribosomal RNA (492 nucleotides) under uncultured bacterium. RNAcentral's name for it is "partial 16S ribosomal RNA". It matches the Rfam family "Bacterial small subunit ribosomal RNA", at positions 29 to 507 of the family's 1533-position model. The record is from RNAcentral.
AGUGAACGCUGGCGGUAGGCCUGACACAUGCAAGUCGAACGGCAGCACAGUAAGAGCUUGCUCUUACGGGUGGCGAGUGGCGGACGGGUGAGGAAUACAUCGGAAUCUACUUUUUCGUGGGGGAUAACGUAGGGAAACUUACGCUAAUACCGCAUACGACCUACGGGUGAAAGCAGGGGAUCUUCGGACCUUGCGCGAUUGAAUGAGCCGAUGUCGGAUUAGCUAGUUGGCGGGGUAAAGGCCCACCAAGGCGACGAUCCGUAGCUGGUCUGAGAGGAUGAUCAGCCACACUGGAACUGAGACACGGUCCAGACUCCUACGGGAGGCAGCAGUGGGGAAUAUUGGACAAUGGGCGCAAGCCUGAUCCAGCCAUACCGCGUGGGUGAAGAAGGCCUUCGGGUUGUAAAGCCCUUUUGUUGGGAAAGAAAGGCAGCAGGUUAAUACCCCGCUGUUCUGACGGUACCCAAAGAAUAAGCACCGGCUAACUUCGUG